UACAGAGGUCCCAAGCGUUGUUCGGAUUCACUGGGCGUAAAGGGUGCGUAGGCGGCCGGGUAAGUCUGCUGUGAAAUCCCGGGGCUCAACCUCGGAAUGGCAUUCAAUACUGCUUCGCUAGAGUACUGGAGAGGAGGCUGGAAUUUACGGUGUAGCAGUGAAAUGCGUAGAUAUCGUAAGGAAGGCCGGUGGCGAAAGCGAGCCUCUGGACAGUUACUGACGCUGAUGCACGAAGGCCAGGGGAGCAAACGGG
This 253-nucleotide ribosomal RNA is filed under the name uncultured bacterium. RNAcentral describes it as "partial 16S ribosomal RNA". It matches the Rfam family "Bacterial small subunit ribosomal RNA", at positions 524 to 776 of the family's 1533-position model. The record is from RNAcentral.